GAUGAAGAACGCAGCGAAUCGCGAUAUGUAGUGUGAUCUGCCUCUAGUGAAUCAUCAAAUCUUUGAACGCAUCUUGCACCCUUUGGUAUUCCAAAGGGUACGCCUGUUUCAGUAUCAUUAUAACCUUUCUCCCCAAGGCUUUUUGGCCAAGGAGGGAAAGAGCAUAACCGGUGGCCCAGCGGUCUCCCUUCAGGGGGAUUGUCUCGGCUGGAAUGACUGUUGCAAUGGUGGGCCAAAUGGUCUUCCGCACUUGAUAAAUGUACUUUUAUAAAGAGCGGGACCGGUCUGCCGAAAGUUGUAACUAAACCCUUUACCUUUGAUCUGAAAUCAGGCGGGAUUACCCGCUGAACUUAAGCAUAUCAAUAACGGAGGA
Molecule: unclassified non-coding RNA, 373 nt
Filed under: soil metagenome
Description: partial contains 5.8S ribosomal RNA, internal transcribed spacer 2, and large subunit ribosomal RNA
Rfam family: 5.8S ribosomal RNA (bases 1-117)
Source: RNAcentral